CUACGGGUCGCUCCAGUGAGGAAUAUUGCACAAUGGAGGAAACUCUGAUGCAGCAACGCCGCGUGGAGGAUGACGCAUUUCGGUGUGUAAACUCCUUUUAAGAGGGGAGAUUAUGACGGUACCUCUUGAAUAAGCACCGGCUAACUCCGUGCCAGCAGCCGCGGUAAUACGGAGGGUGCAAGCGUUACUCGGAAUCACUGGGCGUAAAGGGUGCGUAGGCUGGCUUCUAAGUCAGAUGUGAAAUCCAAUGGCUUAACCAUUGAACUGCAUUUGAAACUGGGAGCCUAGAGUUCAGAAGGGGCAGAUGGAAUUAGUGGUGUAGGGGUAAAAUCCGUAGAUAUCACUAGGAAUAUCAAAAGCGAAGGCGAUCUGCUGGGAUGAUACUGACGCUGAGGCACGAAAGCGUGGGGAGCAAACAGGAUUAGAUACCCUCGUAGUC
Molecule: ribosomal RNA, 439 nt
Filed under: uncultured bacterium
Lineage: Bacteria
Description: partial 16S ribosomal RNA
Rfam family: Bacterial small subunit ribosomal RNA
Source: RNAcentral